AUUGAACGCUGGCGGCAGGCCUAACACAUGCAAGUCGAGCGAGCGGCGGACGGGUGAGUAAUGUAUGGGGACUGCCCGCUAGAGGGGGAUAACUACUGGAAACGGUAACUAAUACCGCAUACUAUCGGAUAACCCAUAUGGGAUAAGCUAGUAGGUGAGGUAAUGGCUCACCUAGGCGACGAUCCCUAGCUGGUCUGAGAGGAUGAUCAGCAACACUGGGACUGAGAAACGGCCCAGACUCCAACGGAGGCAGCAGUGGGGAAUAUUGCCCAAUGGGCGCAAGCCUGAUGCAGCCAUGCGGCGUGUAUGAAGAAGGCCUUAGGGUUGUAAAGUACUUUCAGUCGGGAGGCGUUACCGACAGAAGAAGCACCGGCUAACUCCGUGCCAGCAGCCGCGGUAAUUC
RNAcentral lists this ribosomal RNA (403 nucleotides) under uncultured bacterium. RNAcentral describes it as "partial 16S ribosomal RNA". It matches the Rfam family "Bacterial small subunit ribosomal RNA", at positions 30 to 526 of the family's 1533-position model. The record is from RNAcentral.